Molecule: ribosomal RNA, 443 nt
Filed under: uncultured bacterium
Lineage: Bacteria
Description: partial 16S ribosomal RNA
Rfam family: Bacterial small subunit ribosomal RNA
Source: RNAcentral
CCUACGGGAGGCAGCAGUGGGGAAUAUUGGGCAAUGGGCGCAAGCCUGACCCAGCAACGCCGCGUGAAGGAAGAAGGCUUUCGGGUUGUAAACUUCUUUUCUGAGGGACGAAGAAAGUGACGGUACCUCAGGAAUAAGCCACGGCUAACUACGUGCCAGCAGCCGCGGUAAUACGUAGGUGGCAAGCGUUAUCCGGAUUUCUUGGGUGUAAAGGGCGUGUAGGCGGGAAAGCAAGUCAGAUGUGAAAAUUCAGGGACCAACCCUGAGCCUGCAUUUGAAACUGUUUUUCUUGAGUGCUAGAGAGGCAAGCGGAAUGCCGGGUGUAGCGGUGAAAUGCGUAGAUAUACGGAGGAACACCAGUGGCGAAGGCGGAUUGCUGGACAGUAACUGACGCUGAGGCGCGAAAGCGUGGGGAGCGAACAGGAUUAGAUACCCUAGUAGUC